UGCCGCGUGCAGGAUGACGGUCUUAUGGAUUGUAAACUGCUUUUGUACGAGAAAAAACACUCCUAUGUAUAGGAGCUUGACGGUAUCGUAAGAAUAAGGAUCGGCUAACUCCGUGCCAGCAGCCGCGGUAAUACGGAGGAUCCAAGCGUUAUCCGGAAUCAUUGGGUUUAAAGGGUCCGUACGCGGUUUAGUAAGUCAGUGGUGAAAGCCCAUCGCUCAACGGUGGAACGGCCAUUGAUACUGCUGAACUAGAAUUACUGGGAAGUAACUACAAUAUGUAGUGUAGCGGUGAAAUGCAAAAAUGUUACAUGGAAUACCUCUUGCGAAGGCAGGUGACUACCAGUUGAUUGACGCUGAUGGACGAAAGCGUUGGGAGCGAACGGGAUUACAUACCCUGGUAGUCCACGCCGUAAACGAUGGAUACUACCUGUUGGGAGCAAUUUCAGUGGCUAAGCGAAAGUGAUAAGUAGCCCACCUGGGGAGUACGUUCGCAAGAAUGAAACUCAGAGGAAUUGACGGGGGCCCGCACAAGCGUUGGAGCAUGUGGUUUAAUUCGAUGAUACGCGAGGAACCUUACCAAGGCU
Molecule: ribosomal RNA, 584 nt
Filed under: Flavobacterium sp. Ri3Pw_6317
Lineage: Bacteria; Pseudomonadati; Bacteroidota; Flavobacteriia; Flavobacteriales; Flavobacteriaceae
Description: bacterial SSU rRNA
Rfam family: Bacterial small subunit ribosomal RNA
Source: RNAcentral